Molecule: long non-coding RNA, 2002 nt
Organism: Setaria italica (foxtail millet)
Lineage: Eukaryota; Viridiplantae; Streptophyta; Magnoliopsida; Poales; Poaceae
Exons: 2
Source: RefSeq, a predicted model, not a curated record
CCGGCCGGCCUGGUUCCUGGUGCGAGCCAGGCUGCUCAGGGAAGACAACGGUGAACCUCUCACGCCUUCCGCUCGCCGCCUCCGCCUGCCGCCUGCCGCCGUCUGCUCCGCGCCUACCAGCUACCGCGGCGCCCGUGCCUCCCUCCGCCUGCAGCAGGCUCGCCAUCCUCCGUCGUCCGCCAGCCGCGCCACCCACCGACCGCGUCCGCCCGGCCCCGUCUCCCUUGAUGCCAUGGCCGAGGCGACUGCCGUUGCGCCUUCUGCAUUGGCGCUGUCCAAGAUCCGCGCAGGCUAUGGCCGCUGCCAUACAAGCUCAGGAGGAACUCUUCAAGCCUCGCUUCACCGAUACCAUGGGAUCCACCUCAUCUUCCUCUCCCACAGUCCAAUGUCCUCGACGAUGACGGCGACCCCGUCGCCUUCCUCCACUUCCCCAUGCCGCCUGCUACCACCGUCUGCUGGACAAGCACGGCGCUUGUGGCGCGGGGCGCAGGGCCGUCGCUGAUGCGGCCGAGCAGCGUCUCAAGUGCAGAUGCGCAGCGCAGUGACACGGAGGUCCAGGUCCCUUGCCCACCCGCAGAAAACCUCCCCAACGGCGAGGAGGCAUUGCAGCACGGCAGAAGAGCUCCUUGUCAUCACAGAAGGCAGCAACGCUCCUUUCAGCAUGCGCAAUCAGGCCCAUGGUACUGACGAAUCUUUAUAUAUGUUUGAUCCUUUCCCCAGCUAUCUUAGAUUUCAGGUAAUUUUAAUCUGGCAUCAUAGAUUGAUACACAUCAAGUGUUCGAUAUAUGUCCUCAGAAGAACAGCUCAGUGAUAUAUCAUUUCCAUGUGGAUUAUCUAAUCAGUUUUAUUUGGAUUACACCUCAUUUCUACCAUGAGCAUUAUCCAUAAGUAAAUGAGUUCUUCUGUAUUAAAUCAGUAAGCUCAUUAGUCCUUUCAACCUACUCAGUUGUGUAUUGUUGCUUCUAAUACCUUUUACCUCUUGAAAUGCCUUACUACAGGCUACAUUGCAAGAUGAAUUAUGCAUUUGGGAAAAGUACCAUUUUACCAAUAUGAUGCUUAGCAAAUUACAUGGAUUACAUAUCCUAUUUGACAUGUGACAUACCCUGAUCUAGAACUUCAAGUUUGAGAUCCGAACACAUCUAUAUCUAUGGAAACUCUUUAUGUUAUUUGUCAAGACAUUAUCAUAAGCAAUAUAUCAGUUGUGCUGAACAAUACAUAUGGAUGAUAAGCCAUGCAUCCUAGGCUGGCCCACACCAUGGAGGUAUGCAUAACAAAUAUCUCAAGUCAUUUAUAUGCUUUUUGCUGGUGUGAUAAUCAAGAUUCAAGAUCUUCAAAGGUUUGUCCACCGAUACCCAGGAACUCUAAAUAUAUCAGUAAGCCACACACUGGCCAUGUCUUUUUAUUCUCUCAAGCUAACAGGAAAGUAUGAGGUACGAAUGUCUCAUCUCUAAUUUCUUGCAUUUCUAUUGCUGCACCUCUGUCAUUGUUCAAUCUCUCAGAUGUUGAUUUGACCAGGAUAUAACAAGCUUGCAAACAGAAAACAAACAGUCCUUGAUGCUACUUAAUACAUAAUUAGUAAACAUGCUUUUGCUUGCAUAUAUCUGAUGUAAAAAAAAAUGGAUGUUGUGUAGGAAACAAUGAUACAACUGAGGCGUCCAUCUUAAAAGAGAUCACCUGCAGCCAUUUUUUGCCAAUUUUCAGCUCUGCUUAGUCACUACUGUUACAAAUCGCUUGCAGAGCUGUUAUGCUCCUCGAUGCUCAGGGCUUCUUGACGCAUGGUGGCAACUUGGGGAGCAUUGAAUCUCCUUUUUUAAUUGCAUAUCAGGUGGUUUUCCCCAACAUAAGCGAGCACCCAGGAGAACAAUAGAAAAGAGAUUUGUUAUCAGUAUGACAGUAUCAUUUUCAAGAGUUGAGCAUUGAAGAACAUCUGGACAUUGCUCUGAGCAUGGUGUGUUCGAGAAAAAAAAAUCCCUUUACGUUGUGCACUAUGCAUAGCAGACCA